CUACGGGGUGCUCCAGUGGGGGAUAUUGCACAAUGGAGGAAACUCUGAUGCAGCAACGCCGCGUGAAGGAAGACGGUUUUCGGAUUGUAAACUUCUAUCAGCUGGGAAGAAAAUGACGGUACCAGACUAAGAAGCCCCGGCUAACUACGUGCCAGCAGCCGCGGUAAUACGUAGGGGGCAAGCGUUAUCCGGAUUUACUGGGUGUAAAGGGUUCGUAGGCGGUUAUUUAAGUCAGAUGUGAAAGCCCGAGGCUCAACCUCGGGACUGCAUUUGAAACUGGAUAACUAGAGUACAGGAGAGGAAAGCGGAAUUCCUAGUGUAGCGGUGAAAUGCGUAGAUAUUAGGAAGAACACCAGUGGCGAAGGCGGCUUUCUGGACUGUAACUGACGCUGAUGAACGAAAGCGUGGGGAGCGAACAGGAUUAGAUACCCUAGUAGUC
RNAcentral lists this ribosomal RNA (439 nucleotides) under uncultured bacterium. RNAcentral describes it as "partial 16S ribosomal RNA". It matches the Rfam family "Bacterial small subunit ribosomal RNA", at positions 339 to 795 of the family's 1533-position model. The record is from RNAcentral.